UACACUGUAAAUGCUAACAUUCAAAUUAAUUAAAUUUGAUAAGUGAACUAAACUCAGUUUUCAUCAACCUGUUGUGAACACUACUUUUAAAUAAGUAAGUAGUAAUUUGGGGUUGGAGAACUUGCUUAACUUGAUAUAUCCCAGUUAAGUCAAAUUAGAAAAAAUAAUUUAUUGUACCCAGUGUCCUUUGCGCGUUCUAUCAGACAUGCGCAGAUCUGCCCUGCCUACUUUCGCGCUCUUUCCAACACCUUUCUCAUUUAUUUUCGCCAUUGUGGGUUUAUUUGUCCUCAGCACACUGAUUUGGCUGAAGCAAAUGGUCAGAAGUCCACACAUACCUCAGUCUCUGCAAUUACAGGUCAACCAGAGCAGUAUUCUCUAAUGCAGUGGACUUGUAAGUACUGCACAUUUUCUGCUGGAAAGAGAGGCUACUUGCUUAAGCAUUACCGCUUAAAACAUGGAUUCCACACUCGGACAUCCCUACUCCCCAUGUCUUCAUAAGGACUGCCUCUGCACAUUUAAAUCUUUUAAUGCACUCAAAGUACACCUAUCGACAUGCCACUCUCAAAAAGAUGCAGACAAAAGUGGAGAAACUGCAUUUGACUGUCAGUUGUGCAACUUUGUGGAGCCUUGUUAAGAAGCAGACUUCUUUCCCCAUUUGCGAAGACAUCUUAAGCUGAGGCAAAUGGUUACUUGCAUAUAUCAAGACUGUAACUUUCAGAGCACUGUUUAUUCUACCUUCACUGCACACAAAAGCAGAAAUGUGAAAUGAGUUUGAACCAUAGUAUGGGUAGGACAUUUGUGUCUAAAUCAUUCAAUCCCAAUAAAAGUUGCUUCAAUCAAAAAAAAUAUUUUUAAUGAAAGAAAAAUAACCUCUUGCUAAAAUGUUUUUUUGAAAAUAUAUAUUUUUUGAAAUAUAUAUAUUUUUUUAUU
Corythoichthys intestinalis (scribbled pipefish) is the source of this 930-nucleotide long non-coding RNA. RefSeq lists it as uncharacterized. The transcript has 3 exons. Lineage: Eukaryota; Metazoa; Chordata; Actinopteri; Syngnathiformes; Syngnathidae. The record is from RefSeq and is a predicted model, not a curated record.